CCCCCCCCCGCCAAGUACGGGGGCCGGCACACGGUGACGCUGAUCCCGGGCGACGGCAUCGGCCCCGAGCUGAUGCUGCACGUCAAGGAGGUCUUCAGGCACGCCUGCGUCCCCGUGGACUUCGAGGAGGUUCGGGUGGGCUCCGAGGCCCCCGAGGACGACGUUCACAACGCCAUCAUGGCCAUCCGGCGCAACGGCGUCGCCCUCAAGGGCAACAUUGAGACCAACCACAACCUGCCCCCCACCCACAAAUCCCGCAACAACCUGAUCCGGUGAG
This is a long non-coding RNA of Corapipo altera (White-ruffed manakin), 277 nucleotides long. RefSeq lists it as uncharacterized. The record is from RefSeq and is a predicted model, not a curated record. Lineage: Eukaryota; Metazoa; Chordata; Aves; Passeriformes; Pipridae. The transcript has 3 exons.